AUUCCUACGGGAGGCAGCAGUGGGGAAUAUUGCACAAUGGGCGCAAGCCUGAUGCAGCCAUGCCGCGUGUGUGAAGAAGGCCUUCGGGUUGUAAAGCACUUUCAGUAAGGAGGAAAGGUUAGUGAGUUAAAUACCUGCUAGCUGUGACGUUACUUACAGAAGAAGCACCGGCUAACUCCGUGCCAGCAGCCGCGGUAAUACGGAGGGUGCGAGCGUUAAUCGGAAUUACUGGGCGUAAAGCGCGUGUAGGUGGCUUGUUAAGCCAGAUGUGAAAGCCCCGGGCUCAACCUGGGAACUGCAUUUGGAACUGGCAGGCUAGAGUUUUGUAGAGGGUGGUAGAAUUUCAGGUGUAGCGGUGAAAUGCGUAGAGAUCUGAAGGAACACCGGUGGCGAAGGCGACCACCUGGCCAAUAACUGACACUGAGACGCGAAGGCGUGGGUAGCAAACGGGAUUAGAUACCCUGGUAGGCUCUG
Molecule: ribosomal RNA, 474 nt
Filed under: uncultured bacterium
Lineage: Bacteria
Description: bacterial SSU rRNA
Rfam family: Bacterial small subunit ribosomal RNA
Source: RNAcentral